Molecule: long non-coding RNA, 168 nt
Organism: Aethalodelphis obliquidens (Pacific white-sided dolphin)
Lineage: Eukaryota; Metazoa; Chordata; Mammalia; Artiodactyla; Delphinidae
Exons: 3
Source: RefSeq, a predicted model, not a curated record
GCUUCCCAAUACAGGGGACAUGGGUUUGAAUCCUGGUCCGGGAAGAUUCCACAUGCCGUGGAACAACUAAGCCCAUGCACCUCAACUACUAAGCCUAAGUUCUAGAGCCCGCAAUUCACAACUACUGAAGCCCCAUGCCACAACUACUGAAGCCCGUGCGCCCAGAGC